Molecule: ribosomal RNA, 253 nt
Filed under: uncultured bacterium
Lineage: Bacteria
Description: partial 16S ribosomal RNA
Rfam family: Bacterial small subunit ribosomal RNA
Source: RNAcentral
UACGGAGGGAGCUAGCGUUGUUCGGAUAUACUGGGCGUAAAGCGCACGUAGGCGGCGCCGUAAGUCAGGGGUGAAAUCCCGGAGCUCAACUCCGGAACUGCCCUUGAAACUGCAGUGCUAGAAUCUUGGAGAGGCGAGUGGAAUUCCGAGUGUAGAGGUGAAAUGCGUAGAUACUGGGAGGAACACCAGUGGCGAAGGCGGCUACCUGGACCGGUUCUGACGCUGAGGCGCGAAAGCGUGGGUAGCAAACAGG